CUGACUCAGAUUAUUAGUUGAUGAUGAUUAUUUAUUGCACUGAAAUGUGCCUGACACUGUGGAAACCUGCAGGUGAGGCAUCAGUGACGUAUGCCGAUAUGCCGCCGGUCUACCAAAAUACUACUAGACCAGCUGCGUUUUGCCUGCGCUGAAAGCUGACCAGGUUUGAAUCGGCAAGCUUUCAGCGCCUCACAGGCGUACACAAAAAUAGAGCCCCAUGUGUUUAUGUAUUUUAGAGAUGUCGUCUGGCACGAGCUACUCGCCCUUUUUUCGCAGUACUUGAACUGUUCUUGAACUGUUAAUUGACUUUAGUACAUGGUGGGUCCAUUAUUUAGUGGCUUUGUGCAUUGGUUUUCAUGCAACAGCUGUUUUUUUGUGUCAUUUCUGUGUGGUUUGUGAUUGGUCAGCUGAAACUUUGUCACUUCUGAUGCCAUGACUCUCUCUCUCACCUGCGUGCGCAGUUUAUUGGUUUUUCAAAAAUAGCUUAAUGUGGUAAAUGGCAUGUUUGGGACAUGGUAUUGUCUUGUGUGAAUAGUUUCAUGCAGAAAUCUCCAAUUUGAGGCCCUCAUCGAGGGUUAGUGUUUACCUACAGAAUGUACCAGCUUUUAAAGGUGGGGUAGGCAGGAUUCUGUUAAAGAAGCAUCUUUUUUUGUGGUGUGUAUACAAAAAAGCUUUUAAUAUCAGUCAAUAGCUAUUAGUUAUUGAUGACAUUUGGGAAUGUAAUGAUAUCGCUGUGUUCUCUUAUGUCUAUGUAAUCAACAAUUUAAAAAUUUUCAUACUCUUUCUGACAGUAAACAAAGCCAUUCUCUACCUCCCUGACCUGAUUGGUUGUGAGGCAGACGCUGCUUCUCAUGUUGUGAGGCACACUCCACAAAUAAUGUUCAUGAGCCAAAACAAAGUUAGUGUGCUACAAUAUUGGACAGUAGAAACCAACCAGAAAGUACAGAAAAUUGUCUGAAUCCUCCUUUGGCCACGACUGCCAACACAUGCAAGUAAACAAAGUGACUACUGGAGACUCUGGCAGAAUAAAAAAAAAAAGGAGGUAGCCCACCCAGACAAUAGCUAAGAAGCCGGGUCAACAUCAGCAUAAACGAUGGGGGAGGCUCAUCGGGAUCUUACGGACCCUGUAACCUUUAUGCUGGACAGGUAAACCGCUUUAACAAAGUAACCCAAGGGUCUGUAACAGAAGUCUUUCUUGUCCAACAGGACCUGCUGCAUAUUGUUCAACUGCUUACCUCGGGUCCUGGAGUAUGUCACUUUAUCCUAGUUGCAGAAGUCCUGCAAACAUUGUGUUUGCUGGUAGUCUGUUGGCAUCUACAAUCACACCAAUGCUUUUUACUUUCACCUAGACUGGGCCCCAUUUGUAAUUAUCUGAAGUAUUUAUCUGCAUUAUAUCUGAAUUUAAUUAGAACGAUAUGAGUGAGCAGGAGUUUCUGUUUGUGGGCGGGGCUUGCUGGAGCAGAGAGGAGGAGCUGAGGGGAAAACUGGUUGGGAGGGGUGGUGUUUACAUUCAAGAUUUCUAACAAAAACUUGCACUUCCUCAGAUCCUGCCUACCCCACCUUUAAGGCUUAAGAAAACUGAAGAUGCAGACGCUGUCAGGCCUACCAAGUAACUUAUUGAUAGGAGUAUAUAGACGCAAAAAAAGUAAAAUCUUAAAUACAAAGAAGUUUGUCAAUUUACUAAGUCAAUUUAAAAUCCCAUUUUGGCAGCCUGUUUGAAUGAUAAAAGCAGUAAAAGUAGAUCUGCUCUGUUUAACCUCUAAAUUAAGUUCCAAUGUUGCAGAAACACAAAAUAACUCGAUGGCACACAGCUAAGAGGAGGAAGUUUGGCUCUCAGCCCAGAUUUGGGGUAUAUCCAAUUUGUUGUUUACCAUCCAGGUCCUCAGGCCUCGCUCAUAUUUCUAAGAAUGUAUACUUAAUGUUUUCUGUGCAGUGAAGAAGUGCAGUUUCAGUAAUCUGAUAAGUGGGAGCCAUCUCGAAGCUGAAGAGACAAUAUGGCUGACUGGGUCACAGUCCUGUCGUCUGUGUGUCGUUCUCAUCACGGCUAGCUGAUAGUAUUGCUAAUUUUUUGAGCCACUGGUGAAGGUGACUCAUCUACCACUUUAAAGUCCAUCAGACUUGAAAAUAGGACUUCAGUUUAUGAUGAGAAAUGUAAAUUCAGCAUGAACAAAGUAGCAUGUGCUACCAUAACUAAUGUAGAUGCUACAGCACCACGAAACCUGGAUUCCCUGGCUUUUUAUGGGCGACUGGAGGACGAGGAGUGUGUGCAUCUUGGCCUGUAAGAGAGUUUAAGUGUGUGCGUGUGUUUGUGUGGGAAAAGUGAGGGAUGGCGAGAGUGAAGGAGAAGGAGGGAGGCUGUGUGGGAGGAGGCAGCUCUGCUAUCUCCUCAGAGAGGUUGGGAGGGCGAAGGGUCAUUAUUGACUGAAUGAAUUUUUAAAGAGGGCCCUCAUUGGAGGUGGGAGGGGCAGUGUGAGCAUCUGUGUGUGUAAAGGUGUGUUUGUAAAGUCACACUGGAUAUUAUCCUACAACACAGCUCCUCUCUCUUCUUCGUCUUCUUGUCCUUUUUAUUUUGUGCUAUUGUACAAAAACACUGUUACACAUCUCCUCAAACCCUGAUGCCUGAUUAGGACUCUCCAGUUUCUCCUUAUAGACUCCAUACUUCCUGAUCAUUUACACUCUUAUGUAAUCUUUCUUAUAUAAUCUUUCAGAGGGUUAUUGCCCAAUCCAUAACACACCAUAGGAGCCAUGUGAGCCAAUCAUUAUCAGAACCUGCUCCGUGUAUCAAAAACCAAAAAAGAGAGCUUUUUGUUUCAUGUAGUUUAGUCCACUUUUGGGUGUUUUAUUUGAAAGCUCUCAACAAAAACCUGGUCUAAACCAAACUCUAUUCUCAAAGACCCAAUGUAAAGAUGGGAUCAGACUGAGCCCAAUCCUGUAAGAUCAGAUCCAUUCCCAUCCCAUCUUUAAUCACAAGAAUGUAACACUUAACAGCAGUUAAAGAGUUACAGUGGAGAGAAAGAACUUUGAACAGGCAGAAACCUCGAGCAGAACCAGACUGAUGUUAGACAGUCAUCUGCUGAGACUGAGCUAGGUUUAGAGAGAGAGAGGAAGAUGGAGAAAUAGAGAGAGAUGGACAGAGGAGACACUGGUGCAUAUAGUUGAAGCAGCUGGUAGGCAGGCAGAUCUAUUCUCUGCAGCAGUGAUUCAGAGAAAUCUAUGCCAUGACGGAGCUCAGGGACUCCCAGAAAGACUGUGUAUUAGUGACUGUAAUGGGACCUGAUGGUUUGGAGUUAAAGGGAUAUUACAGUGUAAAAUUAAGUUAGGGUCAAACACACUGUAACACUGAGUUAGACACCCCAUUGAGAGAUGAAUGUUACUGACUGCUUGCUUCUUUAGUUAUACAAACUUUAGUAACGGCCGGAGGAUAGCAAUAAUACAAUAAUACUACAGACAGAAAGAGGAUAAAGAAGAAGGGGCAGGUGCUUAAUGUGCCAGUACUCCUGACAGUCUUGUGUACAUGCAUCAGUCAAACAUUGAGUCAGAUUCAAUAUAUAAAACCAUAUAUUGUUGUUUAAUCAAGGUGCUGUUCACCUUGUCUGACACCUGUUGUGGCUUUAAGUCACAGUAUAGGGGUUGCAGUUCAAGCUGUGAGUGUUAAGACAUUAAUCACGAUAUAAUUUGGGUCAAAAACUAAUGCAUUGAUUGUUUUCUUUGUUUGUGUGCUGGUUUAUUUCCCUUUCAGCACACCCAGGCUGCAUCACCCUGCUCGUCCUGCGGCUGCCAUGAGGAAAAAAAACACCCCUGCACUUUUUAAUGACACAUUUCACAGUAAAAACUCCCAGACUUUUUAGUUCAUAAGUCAAAAGUAAUGUGGACUUGGUGUGAAGUGGAGCAAAACGAGGGCUGCAGAAUGCUGAAAGUUAAUUCCUCUUUGCAAUAUGAAAAAAAGGCAUGUAAUUAAACAUUUAGAAGUUUCAGUAAUAAAGUGAAAGUAUUCAUAAUUUAUAUUUUUGAGUCUAUUAUCUCCUUUCACAUCAAAUCCACCUCUUACAUGUCUUAAACUGACUGUCAUCAAAUGUCCUUUGAUGUGUCUUUUGUACAUAAGGCAAUGUUAUGUCCAAACAAUAAAUCAUUCAGAGUUUGAAUAUGAGCAGCCUCCUUGAAGCUAACCACACAGGUUAGCUGUCAGCAGGUAAUCAGUCUGAUAUCAGCAGAAAUCCACAUCAUAAAAGCUGCCAGAGCUCUAAUUUGGAGCAUGUGAAUCACCAGACCUGUGGGGUGGACCUGCAUCAAAAAAUUACAACAGUGCUUAAAGGCUUGUCAGAAAUGAGGAAGACUUGGGUGGAAGGGACAUCCUCAGGUUAGCAUGCUGUUAUAUGCCUCAAUGUUCCAAGGAACAAUAGUAUCAUGCAUGCAAGCCCUGAAACAGAGAAAUCAAGCCAACUGGAACUCCUGAAAAGUGCAAAUGCGGUCACAUCGAAGAGGAAUCACUCAGUACGUUUGCACACUGAAGUAUGUAGCGAAUCUCCCUUUCAGCUUGUCUCACGAUUGACAUCAACAGCCAGCAAAACAAGUUAGCAAGAAGCUAACAGGAUGUCACUUUUACAACUCUUUGUCACUUGUUAUACAAAUUGUCUUUUUUAUUUCACUUAUUCGUCUUUUGAGAGUUGUUUUCUAUUUGGUUUCCUAGCAACGCAUCCAUGCUGUCCAUCCACUGAUGCAUGAACACUGGAGCAUGCGCAGAACGCUUUCAGAGCCAGUUUCAGUUUGAUUGACAGAGAAAAUCGAUCCCCAACCACAUUAUCCAGGUUUCCAACUACGAGAAGUUCAACUUAAGUCAGACUAAUGUGUUCACAAGGGAAUAAAACAACAUGCUCAGAAAUGUUAGUCAGAUACGCAAGGCAUCUAUUUUGCCGGACGCUGCAGCACGGCACAUCGAUUCAGUCCAGCGCAGCAUGAGCAGCAGCAGAAGUUGUAUGCGGCUACAGAGCAAAAUAUCCGGUUAAUUUUGAAAAUUAACCGGAUAUAGGGUUGUGGGAUGUGGGUGUUCAUAUACACCACCACUUAUAUACACCAAUUGGUGGAUCUCAUUCAGUGUCUCACGGGGAAACACUCAAGAUCUCGUGAGAUCUCGUCCAGUCUCACGAGAAAUAUCGGUAAUCUUGCAAGUGCUUCUCUUCUGAUGACGGAGGCGGAUUGGACCACUGUAUGCUUGCAUAUUUGAUCUGCCUGCCGGUCCGGAGCAAAGCCAUUCCGAAUCCAGUUGAAUCCCCGGGUAAGAGGUCUAAUUGUCUGGUACCACGACAAAUCCUUGGUGUUUCAUGGGGACAGACUAAAAUGGUGUGAAGGAGACUCUUCUUCUCUUGAGUUGAUUUGUGUCUUUGCACUCUUGUACGGGCACAAUAACAGUAGCAAAUAAAGUGAAUCAUUUGCACAAAUUAAGCAAGUAAAUGCAAAGUAUUCAGACGUUCAAAUGAACCAAAUAAUUUAUUUGCAUCCAACAAAUGCAACAUGCUAGUCAAGACUAUAAAGUAGAUUGUAUGACAAGAUUUUGUUUCUGUUGUUUAGAUGGAUUUAGAAACUGUUCUUAAAAGGGCAAUAUGAUCAGAAAUUAAAAAAAAUUACGAUUAAUGAUUCUGCGGUGGCUAAACUUUAAAAAUGAAGCAUUGGAGAGUCCCAGUUUUAGAGCUAAACAUGUCCUUUUUCAUUGAUUAAGAGGAAAAUGCCAAUCAAAGGUGGAGUUUUCAGUGAGGUGCGCCAAGGCCCCUCCACCUGUGGUCUACAGGGUUAACAAUCAAUGGCUGACCUGGUAUUAGGAGGAAAGCCUCUGGGAAGAAGGAGGGAUAGUUUGAGCAGAGCAACGGAGGAGGAGGAGAAACAACACGAGGAAGUCCAUGAUUUUUUUCCUCAGGAGGUGGAAGGAGGUCUGAGAAGAGCUGGUUUGAAGGGGGGGUUACUUCAGGCCACAACCUCCAGCUUUGCGGAUGCUGGCAGUGAGGCUGGCCUCACUGUGAGGAGUACCCGCAGGCGGUGCAUGUGCUGCGGGAAGAGAGAUAGGCAGGGAAGGGGGUGGGGGUGGGGUUGGAGGAUGCUGUGUUGGUGGUGGGUUUGGAAAUGCUCUGUGUGUUCACUGACCCUGGCAGAUAGCAGAUGAAAGAGGGAGGGGGGUAUUCAAUCAUAGUAAUCCACCCGCAACACACACACACACACACACACACACACACACACACACACACACACACACACACACACACACACACACACACACACACACACACACACACACUCCUGAGAGCAGCCACACUCAUUAGUGCCACUGAGACUGAAACACCAGCACAAAGCAGCCUCUCUCUCUCCCUCUCCCUUGCUUGCCCUCUGCACUCUUUCCUCUCUGUCUUCCCUCCGUUCAUCUCAGCCAAUUUGGCCCUCUGUUGUUUCCUCAGCCCCUCUUUUUUUGUGUGUGUUUGCUCCAUUUAACAUCCACUUCAUCAUCCUACCCCUGGUUCCAUCAGUUCGCUCUUAUCUUUCUUUAAUUUCUUUCUUUCUCUCUUAUCUGUGCAUCCAUCCAUUCGAUUCCACCUUUCCUUGUUCCGUCUCCUCUCUCCUCCCUCAUUUGAUUCCCAGCACUCUCCUCCCCCCCGUCCUUGCUUGUCUCUGCUCCCGUGGCGAGGGGGUGAUUUGGGGGAUUAGGCCGGUGGCAGGGUUGUUGCUGUGUCAGUCUAACAGGCGGGGAUCUGGACCAGAGCUCAGUCCAAAUCCUUUCCUCCACGCCUGCCUGCCUGGCCACCGAAUUAGCAGCUUUCCCUUCCCCUCCAUCUCUCUCUUCUCUUUCGAUGCCUGUCGCUCUCCUCUCCUUCUCUCUAUCACACCUUUAACAUUCCGCUGCUUUUGUGAGUGUUUUCUUGUAUACUUAUUAAAAAGGUCCCAAAGGCUCUCUUAUUGAGUGUAUUACAUCUUGAUAUCUCCACCGAGAAAUAUGAUCACAUCACCCUGCCAUGUUAGGUUCUUUAAACCAGCUGUGUCUGCGAUUUUUAAGAUUUAAAAGCAAAUGCCUCAUGCCUCACUUAACUUUUGGCCUUUUAAACCUCAGACAACCCCAACCUGAAACCCUUUGAAAAGAUAUUGUGAGAGUCGAGCUUUAAAACCAAACAGUCUCAUCGUCUUUGCAGUAAGACAAAAGAAACCUUUGUGAGUUCAGUUGAAGUUCCUCUCCUCAAAAUACCCCUCAGAUAAAGGAAAAUAUCUGGUGAUAGCCCUCUUUGUGCACUGAGAAAAAAACCUACUUUCCAAAAUCCUUAGCUGGCUUAAAAUGUCACUCUUCCUCAUAACCCAAUCCUUCUUAAAAUAUCAGGGGGGCAAAUGCUCUUUUUUAAUUGCAGCCCUCGGCAAGUAUACAGUCAAUCCUUUUGGAUAAGUGAGCUCUUCCUUUAGCGGCCUCAGGGGAGCUAAAGGAAGCAGGUUAGGUCUGCAUUACUGACGAUUUUCAACAAGGGAGAGGUCACAGAAAGAAGGACGAUAUCUGUUGAGCCAUUUCUUUGAUAAAAAGGAGGGAAAGAGUGACUGCUGUUGCUGAGUGGAGGAAAAUAAUGCUGGUUUACAAACACAGUUUGAUACACUUCCAUUCUUAAAGGGAGCCUAUAAUACUAUUAUAUAAACAUAAAGUCACAUUGUUGGAUAUGUGUAGUGAACCAUAGCAUAGCUACACAACAUUAUAGGUACAAGGAUAGAAGCAUAAUUCCUCCAUCUCUGUGACAUCCUUUAAAGACAAUACCAAACAAUGCCAGCUCAAGCUUGAGUUGCACCUCAAUUAUUAUUGAAACCCGCAAAUGUUCCAUCUAUAAAGACCUACCUAAAGGCCCAGAACCACAAGCUCUAAAUAACAAAGAGGGCACUAGUGGCUCACCUCAGACAUUUUCUAUAAAGGCAUAACUUCCAGGCCACUUCGUGACUGCAAAGCUGUGAAAAAAGUAACACCCCAAGCUUUAUCUCACUUCACUGUAAAAACAGCCAAAAUAAAGGGUUUCAGGCUGAGGCUUGAUGGCUUGAGGCUAGUGGAGGUUUAGUGGUUGGUGUGGAUUUUUGAAAGAACGUUUUCUUGGUAUUGCUUUUUUCAGUCUUUUGUUUAUAAAGUUAUAAUAUUAUCUACAAUUUUAGCACUUUCUUUUUUAAUAACCAUGAUAGAUCUCAUAUAACUUUGAUAUCUGUGCUGAAUUGAAAUACAUAAUUUGAAAAUGGUUCUUCUGUAUUCCAGUAUUUACAUUGUCUGUAUUCCAGACAGAAUGUAAUAAUGCUUAGCAUCUGAGGGGUAGGUAACAAAGCUUUUCUGGUUGAACUCCUGACUAUUUCAGAAGUGGGUAAAACAGUGUUUAGAUUCAGCGAGGCAUGAUGCAGACUGCAGCUGUUUGUGAGCCGCUGGUUUCCUCCUUUCAGGUAACCAUCCCUUUAAAAUCUGUGAUGUUUGCUGCUGUAUAAUAAUGGGGGUGUAUUUUACUAGUACAGUCCAGCAGUGGAGAAUGUUUCACACUCAUCUCAUGCUGCUCUGUGUCUGUCUCUAUCCCUCUGUACCUGCCUCACCAGCCGGGCCCAGGGGAGGAGGGCAGGUUACACUCAUGCUGUCUGAAGGACGCUGGGACACUGUGGAGGUGUGUGUGUGUGUGUGUGUGUGUGUGUGUGUGUGUGUGUGUGUGUGUGUGUGAGAGAGAGAGAGAGAGAGAGAGAGGGAAAGAGUGAGACAAACUUUGAGAAAGAAAAGAAAAUAGAAGAAUUAAAUGUAAGAGGCCAAACUAUUCAAACAAAUUCUGCAGUUCAGAAUUACAUUUUUCUUUUUCUCUUUGUGUUGUUUCUAAAUAAAAUUUUCUGUUAACUAUCCCCAGUGUUCCUGCUCUUGCCACUUAUUUGGUUACUUUGGUCAUUUCUGCAAGAUAGAUAGUCUGAUAUUUCUGUUUUAUUUUGUAAUCCUUGAUUGUCCAAAAAGUAAAAAAAAAAAAAAAAAAAAAAAACUAAACCAAAAAAACAAACAAGCAAACAACAAAAAAAAAAACACCCAUAUCUUUUCCUAUCCUCUUUUCUUUUACACUCAGUGUAAAUGUCAUAUGUCUCUGAUCCUUUAUACUGAAUUAUUGAAAAUUGCUGUUAAAUCAGUGAUUUGGCUUCAGAUCAGCUUUUUAUAUGCUGGUCGUUUCUUGACAAGCUUAUGGAAGAGGGCGUAACUUUAAAUACAGUUGGAGCAGAGGGUUAUGGGUCAAUUCCCUCUCUUCCCUAAAGGAUGGUCCAGGAGCAAUGAAGGAAAGCUCUUUUCCUUAUCAUUUAAAGACUUUGCAAACCCACUUUGUGUUUUUUUUUUCUCGUUUUUUUCUUGAUUUAGAUUUUUUUGUUUGACUUUGUCAAGUAAGUUUAUUGUUCACCAUUUUGAACUUUUGUUUCUUAAAAUCUUUCAUUUCUUGAAUCUGCAUUUGGGUCCUUUGCUGUAUGAUUCCAGUACAUGACGCAAUUAUUUUCAGACUAAAGUAUUCUAUUUAGAAACAGUUUGCAGGCACUGCAGGCAGGCAAAUGACUGUGUUUAAAUCCCUCAUUGUGUUAUCUAAGGACUUUGUGAAUGUUACCUUGUUGUCUUUUUGCUGUGCAUAGGUGUGCUUGGGAGAGGAUGGAGAGAAAUUCUAACCUGCAGACAAAUCUACUUCACUCUGAGUCAGCAACACUGAUCUAUACUGGCUUUCUGGAUGCAUCAUGAAUGACUUAACUGACCUCGCUUUAACAAACUGCAACUGUGACAGACGGAUUUACUGCAGACCCAGUGAAGCUUGAGCUAUUCCUUUUUACAAGUUUUCAUGAUGUUGUGUCUGAUUGGCUCAUUUAAAGAAAAUCAUAAGAAUAGGCUCGUACUGCUAAAUAAGCCAAAGUGCAGCUGUUGCGUAAUCUACUCUUUACAGCGAAACUUUGACUCAAAAGAAACAUAAACCGAUCGAUGUCUGGAAAACAUAGAGAUCCAGAAUACAAGAGUGAAAGAGUCCCUCACCUGCAUGCCUCCACACUAGUCCCACCAGGGUUUGAUAAAGGGCAGAGGGAGUGUGAGGCUGGCAUUUACUCACGCCACCACCUCCUGGGGUGGAUAUUCAGGACGAGUCUGAAAUCAGAGUGAGAGAGAAAGUGGAAAAUGAGUCAAACACUCAAAACAUGAUGUUGACUCUUCUUACACUACACAUACUGGUGCAUCAGCACACACACACACCACACACACACAGGGACACACAGGGAUAUAAAUGGUCAAAUCCAUGCAUCUACUGUACUGUAGAUGCAGACAGGGUUUGCAUAAAUUACACACAAAUACAUGCAUGCAGAGAUGCCCGUAGGCGCUGAUUUGCCUCCAUACAAAUCACACAGUUGCAUACAAAUAUGUACAUGAUGGUGGAAAGCUGCUGCAAACACUCUCCUCUCCACAUAGUCUUUUCACCUGCAUGCCAACAGUUGUUUGAUCAGGGCUUGCCAGUGUUAGAAUCUGCUCGCCGUGCAUUUGUGCUGCAGCGGAAAGCCCAAAGAAGAGCAGAGGAGCGUCUGAGAGCCCACAGGCAGGAAGAAAGAGAGUGCUGACAGCGACAGAAAAACACCCAGAUGGUAGCUUCAGUCUACCAAGGGAUCACAUGCACAGAAGUAGAUCUGGAAGUUGCUGGCGGUAACAAGAAAUGAUGUCACCAUCCAUGAUAACAAGACGUGUGUGUUGGUAUGAUUUCUUUUUUAACACAUGGACUGAUCUUGUGUUAAACAGGAUUUAAUCUUUAACUCCAGCUAUCUGGAUCCUAAAGUGAGGCUGAAACUCUUAAAAACAGCCUAAUCCAAACAGCAGCAAAUUUUCUUUGCCAACGUGACAUAUCUGAUGGAAAAUGUUCCAUUUUUCUGAAAUAUUGUACAUAUUUUGGCAUUCAAGCAGCUCCUCCAGUAGCUUCUCUGCCUCCAUGGUAAACCAUAUGGACCAGGGCUGUGUUUGUUGUAUUCCUAUAAGAUAAAGUGACAUUGCCAUUUUGAUCAUUUGCUACUCCCCGGUUUGCAUCUCCUCUUGAUCUGUGAGCUGCUGUCAUCACUUAUCUCCACCCUCAGAUCACAGUAAUCUGUGGUGGUGGGUUCAAACUCUGACAGACAUACAGCUCCUGCAGACGCACACAGCUGCAGACACACACUGCAUGUCUCUUCACACUCACUCACACACACACACGCACACACACACACACACACACACACACACACACACACACACACACACACACACACACACACACACACACACACACACACACACUUAUGGUAUAGAAGCACAUAUCAAAUGUUAGCAGUCAGACAGACACAGAUGUUCACCUGUAUUUUCAGGUACAUCCAGAGCAGAUGUGUGGGCUGAUGAUGUGCUCCUUGAAGGCAAAAACACACCUAUAACGCUCUGCAAAAAAUGUGAUUCACACCAUGCAGGAUACACCCUCUCUGCUCAAACACACACACACACACACACACACACACACACACAGAAAGACAUACAUACCUAAAUGAAAGCAUGCAUAUUUAGAUGCAUGUAUCUGGAUGGGUGAACACCCGCUAACACUCUGAGACAAUACGAGAACGCUGUGUUCGUGUCUGAACAUACUGAUGCACUUACAGUUCAUUAUACAGCAGGUUUUGUAUGAUACCAGAGCUAUCGUUCCUGUCUGUUGAUCUUUAAAGGGCCGUGCAUCCAGCAUACAAAUCCUCCUUAACUGAUGGAAGGAGCUGGAACAGAAAAACAAACAAACAGGCAUGCUUUUAAUUGCACCAGGAAUAAGACUUUGCAGUACGAGAUUAAAUUGUUUUUUGAGCUGUCAGCCGUGUCUCUGAUUCGUCGAUCUUGUAACAUAAUAUAUUUGAAAUGAGCACUAAAAAAAUUCACAGUGGGUGCCAUUGGGGCCCUGAGCUAUUCAGACCAAAACCUUUUUUUACUGGGCUGCAAACAUUUUUAUCUUUACACUAAAAAUGUGCUUUUUUUGGUUUAUUGUGUAAGUGGUUUCUGCUGUCUGUGCAGAGCACCUCAAGUGGACAUUCAAGGAACUACAGUUUUUAAGCACACCCAAUCCCAAAAAUAGAUGAUCAGAGAAAAUAAACAUAUCUACUCAGACCACAUGAAGACAGUUUGACCUUGAGUAAGGAUCAUUUCUCUAUAUUACCUCAGUUGAUCAUCAAGGACAACACAGCAGCAUUGUAUUGUAGGAGAGUCUAAAUAAUCCAAUAUAAACAAAUUGCUGCAUGAACUAACACUGCACUGCAGAACAUCUUUGGAAAAUGAAUCCUUAAAAUUUUCUAAACUUGAUCUUACAUGUUCCUCCCAACUUCAAGUCUUGGGAGGACGAAGAUUCAAUCAAAAGCAGAGGUCAGAGCCUCUUGUUUACAAAAUGAUGGUGACAGUUUUACAUUUAGAUCAAUGUGGCCUGUAAAUGGACAGAUGUGAAGACACCUUUGUAGUUCUUGUCUCUAAAUAAAUCUUCCUCGUCAAACUGAGAUGUUUUCUCUUAUCCUGUUGUGUUCCGCCUCAUCUGGUUUGCCAUCUCCUCCUGCAAACUCAAAAUUCCUGCUUUGCUCUCACAUUAGCCAAACCUAAUCAGACCGAGACGCGAAGGCAGAAGAACUACCAUGUCUGCAGUGCACAUACAAGAUAUACAAGAACUCUGAGUGCAUUUCCAUGCAGUAAUAAUCAUAAAUUUUCUUCCUUGAGCUGCAAAAUUCAGCUGCACUCUGUGAUUGACUUGUCGGAACUCCCCCACAAACAAGAGGCUGCAAGAAGAGAGUAGGUGAGUUGUGUUUAGUCUCUCUGCAAAAUAAAGUAGGCAAAGUUAAAAAGAUGUUUGAUGGCUAGUGCUAUGGCUGGGACCCUAUAUGUACUGUUGAUGAAGUUAGGUGCUGUUCUGAUCAUUAUUUACGGUUAUAGAGUGGCGUUUUGGUUGAGGUGUGUGUGUGGAGAAGUAGACCACUGUGUAUUGCUAUGCUAUGCUGUGCGGUUGUUACUAAAGUUAGGAUAACUAGAGAAUCAAGCAGUCAGCAACAUUCAUCUCUCAAGGGGGUGUCCAACUCAGUGUUACGGUGUGUUUGACCCUAACUUAAUUUAUGCAGGAAUAUCCCUUGAAGUCCUGGAAAUUGACAAAUUUUCAGCUCUUCCUAAAGCUGAUUCAGUUAUCACAGCCCUUUUAGAAGUUUGAAACAUUGAAAAUAGUUUUCCACUGUUGACAUCCUUGUCAAGAUUGGCAGGGAAAUAAAUAACUAAAAACAAGAUGACACGGGGUUGCAUGAUGAUGUGUUUGAGGUUCGGUCAGGAAAAUGAAUGUUUGGCAAAAUAAAUGAAAAUCAUCAUGAGGUGAUCAAAUGUCACGUCAAGAAAAGAACAUUUUCAAUUUUGGUGAGGAAUGACUUAUUCAUUUUUUAGGGGAGAAGUUUGUUUGUUUUACCAGCAGUAUGAGUCGUUUUACACCGAGUUUCACCGAGUUUCUCAUUUACCACAGAGGGAUGGACUCAACCCACUACUCAGUUAGAGACAUGUCUUUUUUUUUCUUAAAUGUGGAUGUACCAGAAUAUACUUGGUAGAAGUGGAGUAUCGUGAUUUGUCGGUCACAAACAAACUGGUUUAAAGAGCUGGCUCUUUAACAGGAAUGAGGGGAGCCAGCUCCUGUCUGUGAGCCAUUGUUUUUUGUAUUUUUUUUCUCUAUUUUUGUAUUUGAUUUACUCUGCUGUUGCGGUUUUUGUUCUUGAUAGCGGUCAGUUCACAUAGACAUCUAAAACUGUUAGAUGCUGCUGUUUUGUUCAUUGCAAUACAGCUAUUUCUUUUUAUUAUGUUAUUUAUUUGAUUAUUUGUGUUUAAAUAAAUGUUGAACUUCUGUCCUUUUUAUUUCUAAGCUUAAGUUUUUAAAGAGGUUUCUAUUUGCUUUGUGUAGCAAAGUGAUUCUACAAGCAAGUCAGCGCAUUCAUAGAGUGUUUUCAGAGAGUUACAAGGGUCUGUAAAUGCAAAGAAAAUAAUUGGCUACAGCAAUUUACUUAUAUUAGAAUAUGUCAUUUUUACUUGUGAAUACUUCAGUACAAAGGAUGAAUUAUUUAAGAAGUAUUGUAUGUGUACACAUACAUACAUAUCAUGAGCCAAACAACGUUAAAUUUGUCUGAAUUAGAAAAUGUUUACGUAGUAAAAUGAAGAGCUGCUUGGGAGCCAAAAGAGCCAGCUCUUCGUAGUGAGCUGAGCCAAAUGAUCUGGCUCACUAAAAAGAGACGUAAUUCCCAUCACUAACAGAGUAUAAUAUUCCUAAGCAUGUUUAAAACUGUUUUUAACCCCCUAAAUAUAGAAAUAAAACUGUUUAAAAAAACUUAAAUGAGUCUUUUUAUUCACAAAGGUGCGGGUCCCUUUCAUGGAGGCUGCCAUCUUGCACCUACUGAUCUAUUGUAGCCUAGAGUGGACAAAUUUGUAACAUACAGUGCAUCCGGAAAGUAUUCAUACCACUUCACUUUUUCUUCAUUUUGUUAUGUUACAGCCUUAUUCCAAAAUGGAUUAAAUUCCAUUUUCCCUCAAAAAUUCUACACAAAAUACCCCAUAAUGACAAAGCGAAAAACUUUUUUUUAGAAAUUUUGGAAAUUUAUUAAAAAUAAGACACUCAAAUGUUGGCCGUGUGAAGAAUUUGUGUAGAAUUUUUGAGGGAAAAAGUGAAUUUAAUCCAUUUUGGAAUAAGGCUGUAACACAACAAAAUGUGGAAAAAGUGAAGUGGUAUGAAUACUUUCCAGAUGCACUGUAUGUGUUUUUUUUAUUGGUUAUGAAGAUUAGCUGUAUGACAUGCAUUAAAAAAAGGGGAUGGCAGUGGGUUAUGUUGAAUGUAAAGUUGCGUAUUGUAUCAAUGAAUGUUUUUAAAUGGUAAAAUCUUUACAAAUCAAUCGUGUGCAUCAUUGCUCACUCUUGUCCCUGGAAGCCACUGUCACUUCUCUUACAGUAUAAGUGAGCAAAGGAGCAUUUAAAGCUAGAAUCUAUUUCCAUUUUGGCACACUGUGCCUUUAUUUAAAUUUGGAAAGAAAACAUGGAGUAAAAGCAUUAAAACCCUGAUUUUGAUAUCGUAUGAAGUUUGUUGGUAAACAUACUCAGUUAUGUUUCUGGAAUUGAAAGGUAAGAACAUUUUACUUGGAAGCAGCAAACUAAAAAAGGUGGACAAAUUGAAAAGAGAGAGAAAAAAAAUGAUAUUUUCAAAGUUUCCUUUCAACAUUGUUUGUUGCAAUUGGUUGCUAAUAACUCCUCAUGUUUCAGACUUCAAAACAAAGAGCUUACUUUAUAAACAAUCUCAGAUUUGCAUCAGGCAGGAAUCAAACAGCAGCAUGUCUGGUCUCAGCUGAAUGUUUGAUUCCAGGAAGAACUUUGACCAUUCUGUUUGAUGCUCUGAGCUUCGAGUCCUGCAGGCUGCAUGAGAGAUCAAAAAGCUGUGGACCUCACAAGACACACAAGUUUGGUUUCUCUCUGUCUGAAAAGCUCUCUCUGUCCUUCCUAACUCUGCAGAAAGCAGGGUCUCUGUGCAGCCUCCACACAUCAAACCAGCAGCUGAAGACAAGAGGACAUGGCUGAUGUUUAAAGUUUGAUUGAACAAUGAAGUAUCCCUCAAAUUUUGUUGUAUUUAUUGUGGUUUUUUUUUACCCCAGCACUAACUUCUUAUGUUUCACUUUGAAAUCCAGUGAAUGGUGUUAACCCCUGAUAUAAUAAUUCAAGAUACAAAGGAAACUGUAAGAACUUUACGGGCAAUAAGCUGAAACCACCAAAUGCUUUUUGACAAGACUUGCAUCUAAAGACCUUUCUUGUAUCUAACCUUUGGUCCUUCUCUUUGAGGACCAAGGUCUAUGAGAUACACUAAAAAAGAUAGACAGUGGCCCUCAUUUAUCAAGCUUGCUUAUGGCAGAAAACUUGCUUACACCUUGCGGACGAAAAUUUUGACGUGAGGAUCAGCAUUUAACAAUCUGCACAUGAGCGUACUCUACGACCAAAUCUCACGACAGGUCUGACAUCGUGUACGCAAGUUUGAGUCAGUGUGGAUCUGCGGUCCGGCAAAUGUCUGUCUCAAAAUAAUUGAUAAACAAACCUCAAACCUGUCAUGAAGCACAAUCAGCCAAAUUUCAUUAAAGAUUAAGACGUAAAUAAAAUAAAUGAAUUGGUUAUGUCCUUAGUGAAUAGGCCUAUUUGAUAACUCUGCCCAGAAACACUGCCACAGAGCAGGAGCGCCAUUUCAACAUUACGCACACGCGCCACUGUGGAGUACUGUGUUUGACUCCUAAAAGGCAGGUGUCCCUGUCUUGGCCCAGCAGCAGGGACAUUGUUGGACACUCCUGGAAGUGUGUGGGAUAUCAUUUUGGUCAGUACAGUUUUACACAAUGUUGCUCUGGUGAAUGGAGUGCUGUUAGCUGUGCCGGUGCAAUGUGAGGACCCGAUGCCCGGAGAACAAUAACGAGGAGAGACUCCACAAAGGUGCUGUAGAGAGGAGACAGGACCUUAUCAAUGGAUUCUGAUAUGUAAAGUAUAAGUUUGGAAAGUGCUCUUGCUAUUUAAUCAGUGAUAAAAAUCCAAUAGAAAUCCAUAAAAAUGUGCCUCAGGGGCAGCAACACACCGUUUGGUGACGUUAAUAACUAUUUUUGUUCAGCCUCUGUCAGACUCUCCAGUCUGCUCUACAUUACAAAGACGCAUCAAAUUAAAACUAAAUACUUUAAACAAUAAGAGCACCGUACCCUAUGUCAUGGCGAUAAAAAAUAUGAGGCAUGUAUGAGAUAUUAAUUUAUCAUCAUGAGCAACAUACUGACUAAUGAUUUAUUCAAACUUCAGCUACUGUCCACUAUUCUGCGGCAGCGCUUUUAGCGCCACCAUAAUCCUGCUCCAGACAGAAGUUUUCUGGACUGCUUUUAUACCAGUUUUGAUGCUUUCAAAGAGCAAAUCCUUGUUAGUUUCCACCACAGACACGAGGAUAUCCACUUUCAGCUCGGAAAUCCUCUUUCAGCUUGGAAAAGUUUCGCAUCUUUCUAAUAUUUCUCCUCUUUCAUGUUUGACCUCAGUGGGUGAGGCUUCCGAACCACAAAUAUUUAAGGGCAUAAACAUGUUAAUGACGAUCGAUUUCAGCCGCCACAUUUAUCAAGACUCGAUCAUACGUAUGCUGGAAUUGGUCAGAUACGAACCCUUUCUAAAUCUCACGUGUGUCCUAUCGUACGAUGAAUCCUGCGCUCAGAUCUGCACAAGCUUGAUAAAUGAGGGCCAGUGUCUUCAUAUUUUUAGUACCUCUUUGUUGUGGGUUCUCCCAGAAAAAAAUCAAUAUGGCGUAGUCAAGAAGGUACGUUUUAGGUUUUUUUUUAUUCCACCAGUCUCCAAACAGUGGAAAAAUUUUUUGUAUAGUGUCCCAAAAACUAUUUACAAAAAUAUACAAUUACCUGAACAAUGGGCUCACACUGACAAAUGGGUUCUUCAAUCACCCGCAAUCACAGCUUGAGCCACCAGCAAACUCAACCCCCCCCCACCCCCCCAAAAAACAGUGCAUUAAUGAGUUAACAAUUUUCCAGCAUCUGCCAUGUACCAAUUCUCCACACUCACAUGGACAAAAUGGCUGUCUUUUAAACAAUAAGCCCCUCCCAGUUGCUGUAUUACAGCAACAUUGCUUUAAAGACCACUUACAGAUAGCAAAAUACCUCUUUUACAUUUCCCCCAAUUUCUACGUGUUAAUUCAGUUCCCCUUUUUCCCACCAAGUGCCUCUUAAAACCGGAAAGUAGAUGUGCCCCUGUUUGGCUUACGCUGUGGCUGACCAAAGGCAGUGGGGAGGAGAGCUCGCGUUUUAUGGUGAGUGUCUCUGUGUUAUGUGUGAACAUGUGUGUAGAACGACGAGUGUGCACCCUCAUUUGAACUACUGGACCUGUGGGGAUGUGAAUAACUUUAACAUAAAUCAUAAUUGAAAGCUCCAGACACACUUCAGGGUUUAUUAGAGACUAGUGUUCAUACAUGAAUUGUAUUUUCCACAUAUGCAGAAGGUUCCUCAUGGUAAGUCAAGACUCAUAAGGAGAAGAGUGUGAAGUGCAGCACCCCUCCUUGUAAUUAGUGAGGACUCAACUCAGACUUGGACUCAGGCAAUAGGAACCUGUUUCUUAGAUUUCAGACCUGAAUCCUUAGAAUCUUUUUUUUUUUUCUUAAAACUUAGCGACCAGCACCCUUUUCACAAAGAUGAAGAUUUUUUCAAGAACUACUUUUUCAGCUUUUUAUGCUUCAAAUGACAGGGAGGACGAAACAUGCACUAAAGGUUUGUGACCAGAAGGCAAAUCUGCAGCCUGUGAUGUGGAGGCUGAUCUACCAAGUGAGCAACAACAGCAUCCCAAACAUGAUGAAAUUUAAUAUAUUUCAGCCAUUUGUGUGCAUGUGUGUGUGUUAGAGAGAAGGAAAGAGAGAGACAGAGAGAGAGACAGAGCGAGAGAGAGAGAGAGAGAGAGAGAAUAUGAGUGUGUGGUACUUGACCUGACAUGCACCCACGUUGUUCCUACUUUUCGAAGCAAAAACUCACCCACACAAAUAAAUACAAUAUUUCACACAAAAAUACACACAUAUUCAUUCAAACACAUAACACUGACAGAGCUUCACACACACACACACACACACACACACACACACACACACACACACACACACACACACACACACACACACACACAUGGACUGCAGGCUGCAGAGCUCUGCCAAAUGAUGGGGUCCUGAGAGGCAGUGGCUCUGACCUUGGCUGCCCGUGUGUAUGUGCCUGACUCCAGCUGGGCGUCCAUUAGAGGGCUCCACAACAGACACUGGCCUCUGCUGAGAGCCAGGGGUCGAAUACUUUACACACACACGCACACAAAUGAAAACACAGAUACACACAGACACACAAGUUACACACACACCCACGCACAGGCAUGUGUGUGUCUAAUCGAGUGUUCGUGAGGGCAUUUCAUAAACAUGCUCAAAUGUAACACUGAUGCAUUAGGUAAACAACACACAAGCUGUGUGUGUGUGUGUGUGUGUGUGUGUGUGUAUGCAUGUAUGGUAGAGUAUGACAGUGAGCAGGGGACAAAAGACGCCACAUGUGGCCAGUGAUUGGAACCUGGGCUUAGUGCUGGUAUAAACAGGUGUUAGUUUAUGAUCUGUGACUGGGUCAGGAAAUUUCACAUACGACAACAACUGUGGAGCUUGAUUUGUCUAACUUAGAUGACAUAGAUUUCAUGCCAAAAUUAUACAUUGUUUCUGGACUGAGGACAGCAAAUUCAGCUUAUUAUUGUUCACAUGGAAAACAUGUGCUUAUGGAAAACAACAGUUAAGGGAUAAAGGAUGGAUGGAUGGAUAAAAUAUCAAUGAUUGAUGGAUGGCAUACAGAUAGAGGGUUGGAUGAACGGAAAGAUGAUGGAUGUAAACUGACAUAUGAACGGAUAUAUGGUUUAAUGGUUAACACAAAGAAUUAAUGGCUGGCUGGCUGGAUGGAUGGAUAAGAAGUUGAUGUACAGACAUGUACAGAUGGAUUGGUUAAAAAUCUAUGGAUUAUUUGAUGUAUGGUGAAAUGGAUAACACAAUAAUAAAUGAAUGAAUGAAUGUUUUAAUGAAUGAUUGUGAACUGAUGGUUGGAUGGAUCACUGGAAUGACAGAUGGAAAUAUGAACUACGGGUGGGUAAUUGGCUGGAUAUUUAUUGACAAAGAUGUAUGAGUCAAAGGAUGGAAACAUGAGUUUCAGAUGUAGGGUUGAAGGUAUGGAUAAAAGACAGUUGAAGGAUUGAUGGAUGGUUAGAUGGAUGGAUGAGAAGUUACCAUGUAAAUGGAUCGAUGGAUAAAAGUUUGAUGGAUCGAUGGAUGGCAUACAGAUAGAUGGUUGGAUGUAUGGUAAUUGAAUGUAAUGGUUAACACAAAGAAUUAAUGGCUGCAAUGAAGGAUGGAUGGUUGGAUGUACACUACAGUCCAAAGGUUUGGAAGCAAGAUCAGAUUUGUACCAAAAAAUCAUAGUUUCAUAUAUAUAAUUUGCAACACAAUAAACAUGACUUUUGUGUAAAGAGUAACUUAUCAGAAGACAUUUUGACUAUAAUUAUUAGGUAUUUGAGUUAUUGUUGCUUAGACUUUGCUUAUACCAGGCAUUCGUUCCACAAGUAUAUUAAGGUAUGUUCCAGGGAUUGCAUUCCAAGCUUUCUUAUGUUCAUUAAAAAGAGACUGCUGAUUCGUGGGACGCGUUUUUCUGACCGAUCGAUCCAAUCCAUCCUGCACAAGCUCAAUUGGAGAAAGGUCUGGAGACUGAGGAGGCCAAACCAUCUUUUGAAGAACACCUUCCUCUUCUUUUUUUGUCUCGGUAACCCUGACAGAGCUUGGCAGAGUGCUUAGGGUCAUUGUCUUGCUGCAAAACAAACUUGUGAGCCACAAGGCUGAGUCCAGAUGGAACAACAUGGUGCUGGAGGAUGGAGUGGUACUGUUCCUUCUUCAUAAUACCCUUUACUUCAAACAAAUCUUUUACUCCAUCAUCUGCAAAAUAUCCCCAUACCAUGGAACUACCACCUCCAUGCUGAAUUGUGGGUGUAACACAUGGUGCUUUCAGACGUUCACCAGUUUGUCUGCGGACAUAGACUUUGCGUUUUGAACCAAACGGUGCAAACUUGUUUCUAUAUAAGUCCAAUUUUUGUGAGCUUUUGCCCACUCAUAUCUCUUGUUCUUGUUCUGUGGACGAAGUAGUGAUUUUGAAGAUACACAACCCUUCAGCCCAGACUUUCUCAAACGUCAUUUCAUGGUUGUCAGAGAUAUGGGUUUCGACCUUGUCAUGUUGAUUUCCUCCCUUAUUUUUGGUGCUGUCUUUUGCCGAUCUCUCUUACUGGUGACAAUGCUAUGUUUAUCCUCUGCUUUUGUAGUAACUCUCUUUUGUCGAGGUCUUUUUCUAUCAUCAUAACUUCCAGGUGCCUCUAGUCUCUUCAGAGUGUAGUGGACUCCUUUGUUAAACACCUUUAGGCGUUUUGCAAUUUCUCUUUCUGUAUCCUUCUUUCCUCAAUGUACAAAUCUGUACUUUUGUUUCUUUACUCAGUUGCCUCUUUCUAGCCAUUUUUGUGUUAGUUUGAACGCAGUUGAGAUUUAUUAGGAUUUUUGUAUGCAGACUCUCAAAAGCCAAAAAGUUGAAGUGAAUAAUACAACUGUGAUUUGUUUUUUUGCUUUUGCACUGAAGUUGUGACUCUUGCAAAUGUUUUCAACCCUAAAACUAAGCCCUUAUUAUCUUUUGCUGACAUAUAUUUAGCAAUGGUCUGUUAACAUCAAUGUAUAUCUAAAGGUAAAGGAGUAAAAUGGUUCAUUUCCAUGAAAGCAACAUCUGACCAUGGAGUACAUACAUCCCAAAAUACAUAUGCUGGAUUUAAAAAAAAGCACUGUGAACAAAAACUUGAAGUUACUCCUAACUGUUUGGCCUGUAAUGGCCUUGCUUCCAAACUUUUGGUCUAUUGUGUCUGUUAAAAUGAGAGGAUAGUUGAAUAGAUGGACAAAUGGAUGUCAGAAGAAUGGUUUGUUAUAUUGAUAGUAGACCGUUAGAUAAUGGAUGGAUGGUAAAAUGACUGGAUGGGUGAUAACAUAUUUGAUAGUCAAAUAACAGUAACAGAUGAAGGACUGAUGGAUGGAUGGACGGUUAAAAGAUUGACUUAAAGGUAAAUGGACAGAUGAAUGGUGGGGGAUCACAGAAAGCAGGAUGGACUUACAGACAAUCAGACUGAUAGAUGAUGGAUGGUUUAAUGUACAGAUGUUUGAAAGGAUGAUGGUUGGAUGCAUAUUAUGGAUGAAAGAUGGUGGUAUGGAUGAUAUUUGGAUGUCUGGAUUAAUGAAAGGUGAUGAUGUUGGAUGUAUGAAGUGAUGGAUGGAUGUAUAAUAGUUGGCUGUGUGGAUGAUGGAUGGAUAGAUAGACAACAAAUGGAUUAUGGUCACAUCUAGGGGUAGAUGGGUGAAUGUAUGAUAUUGAAUGGAUGGAUUAAAAUUGGGUGGAAUAACUGUAGCAUGAUUUACAGAUUGAAGGACUGAUGAAAGGAAGUGGAUGAUUUAAAAAGAAAUAUGUAUAUCACAAGACAGACAAACAGAUGGACAGAUAUAGAGACAGACAGACAUUGAUAGAUAGAUGGAUGAAUGGAUAGAUAGGUAGAUAGAUGGAUAGAUAGAUAGAUAGGUAUAUAGAUAGAUAGAUAGACAGAUGUCCACUGUCGCCCCUCUAAUUAUGGACAUCAUAAACUUUUCCCUCCAACAGUGGCUGGUCUUUUCCUCCUUUCUUUUAAAGGGUCUACAGUCUAAUUGUACCCUGUCUGCUGUCUGCAGUGUAUCCACUGAGCCACAACACUGUCGACUGCAGACACCACCUCCCAGCAUGCCAUCUCUCUCUCUCUCUCUCUCCCUCUUUCCCUCUCUAAGCUGGUCAGCUCCGGCUCCACAGCCAUCAUUAAAGCGUUCUGGCUGAUCACACCCUUUAAUUGGACCAUACCAGCGGCCCGGGCAAAAAUGGCGGCUUGUUAGCUCAGCUGCAGAGUGAAGCAAAGGCACAAACAAACAAGCAAACAAACAAAUGAGGAUAUAAACAAACCACAUGGAAGCUGACUUGGAACAUGAAACACGUGAAGAUGCUUAAACGAGGUCGACCUGCAGACAGAAGAAUCGGUUCAGAGACAUGUUGGAAAUACUUUGUACAGGAAUCAGUUUUUAUCUGCUGUUUUCCCUCUGACGGGGAAACACUGGCGCUUUUUAUUUCACAAGUUAACCAGUAAAAUAAGCCUUAAUUUAUGUGACACAGUAGCUAUUUGGUGGCCAUUUAGAGGCAAAUUAGAGCCAAAUGACUACCAAGCAUUCAUUAGUAGCAUGGGUGGCCCCAGUGGGACUUGUAAUGCAGGCUGUAAUGUUUUGGUCUACCCCCUAAAACAGAAUACUUGAUAUCUGGAGCAUUUGAAGGCAUCUGUAGGUAAUAUUCAAACAACUUUCUGCAUAGAAACAGCUCUGCUCCUGCAUUGCAUCAAAUAACCCUUUGCUUUCCUCCUCCUCCUCUCCUCUGUGCUGUUUAAUUUGGAGGCGGGCGUCUGUGCAUUGUAAUAUUUUCCAUUUAGCGCUGAGGGACUGGGAGAAUUCAGUGGGUCGUUUCACUUUCACGCUUUGCUGAAGAAAAAGCGAGGACCAUCUGACAAUAGUUACUACGAGUCACCUUGGUGCUGCUUUUAUCCUAACAGGGUGUCAGAUAAUUCAAGGUUGUUAAUGCAGCAGCAUCUCCGUUAAAUCAUGAGCUUUAGGUGCAACGCAGCUUCUCUAAUCCACCUACAGCUGUAUGCUGCUGUUGCUCCACUGAUUUAUAGAUAACUGUUAUGAUACUCAGACAUUAACGCCUCCAGCUGGGAAUUCAUCCUCUUCUCUCUUUUAUCCUUCUGAUAGAAAAUCGGCAUAUUGCUCAAGGGCACAUAAGCAGUCAAUAAUUGUCAUCUGCUGUCUACAGCAAAAUGCAUGGCUGAUGUGUAGUCACAUCUGUGUGCAGCUCAUCAGAAAUCCGUGCAAGGCUGUGAUUGGAGCCAAACAACACAACAGAGAUGAUUGUUAAUAACCUUUAAUUUCAGCUUUGGCAGCCACAGGUACAAACAUACAGGUAACAGCUCAGUUCACUUCUAUCUUCAGGUUGUUCAAGGUCAGGUGGUUCAGUAGAUAGGAGCUUGCAGGAUGCAAACAGUGGCAUUAGGAUGGGAGCCUCUGUGGCACUGGUAAGUACAUAGGAAAACUCUUGAUAAAAUGAAGCAUAAAAACAUACACAACAACAAUAUUGGCGAGCGAGAGCAGCACAGCAGUGUCAACCUUGUCCUCAAAUGAGGAUCUAGUGCCAAAAAAGGGAGCUACCUCUGUGGUGUGGAUGUGGUUUGUACAAAAAAAUCAUAGUUUCAACUAAGUUUUACCACCUAAAGCUAAAACACAUGGCCGAAGAUCAGCAGGCUUUGAAGCCAUGUGAUGAGGACGUGCAAGCAGCUACUGGUGUUCAGUGUAAAAGUAAACAAACAGAGCAUUGCAGGAGCACUCACUGCACUCUGUUUGAUAAAAGAAAAAAAAAAACAGACGGUGGCAGGUCAUUACAGAAGUGGUCACGUAUUCUUAGGUUAAAGACAUGGGGCUCUAUUUUCGUGCCUCGCCGGAGACGUGCUGCAGGCGCGGCGUAAGUGAGGUCCGCUGCGCCGACAAGGCGUUCCCAAGCACAAUUUGGUAUUUUGGUUUGAGGCGCAGCCCGGCGUAAGUAUCCCCCCUCCCUAACUCAGCUCCUCCCAGCGGCGUAAGUCGGAGCGGGGGAGAAGCUAGGGCGUGGAAUGGGUUUAACACAGCCAAGACCUGUUUUCACCAAUCACAUAAGCUCCUCUCCUUGCCUUUAAAUCCGCCACCGGCGAGGCGUAUUACUAUUUUCGUGAAGUAGUCAAAGAGAUCAAGAGAUGUCUGAAGACAGUAAUGCCACAAGAUGGCAACAUAAAGCAGCUCCGCAACAAGUGUCACUGUAAGCGCUGCAUUGGGCGUCCUCCACACUCUCUCAUAUGAGCACAGAUGGAUUUGGUGUGUGUAAUGUUGGACCCCCUGGUAAGACAAACACCCUUUUCCACAAAUAAAGACACCCACAUAAAGUUGCAUAUAUUCAAACCUCACGUGACAAAGGUGGGUUGAGCGUACAGAUAACAACAUAAACUCCAAAAAUGGCAUUAAAAUCGGAACCAUCUGUGCGUAAAUGACGCAUCGCGCUCCAUGGCCUGGCUCUUUCUUUCAUAGAUGUUGGCAUAUAAAAUAAAUUUGGCCCACAAAACUGAAUAUUAUAAUAUCCAUAUGUAGGCGUAAAGUAAAUAACUCAUCUGAGCACUGAAACAAAUCAUCUGUUCAGCCGCUGCAGCUGGAGCAGGAUGGAGAGAGGACAUGGAGACAUGUCCAGGUCGAGCUGCGCAAGAAAUAAGAGGAAGCGGAAGAAAGAAAAGGAGGGAGACGAAUCACAUAUCUUGUUAACUUCAUCAUGUGUGUUUAUUUACUAGAUAUUUAAUUUAAUUUAAUGUGGUUUCAGCUGUGUUGAUUCGGUCAGGUUGUGUGUCCAAACGCGUGCCAAACGCGCUCAUCAGAUAAGAUAUAGAUCAGAAUAUAUCUAUAUAGAUCUAAAUGGAUGUGCUGACUCAGAUUAUUAGUUGUUGAUGAUUAUUUAUUGCACUAAAAUGUGCCUGGCACUGUGGAAACCUGCCUGUGAGGCAUCCGUGAUGUAUGCCGAUACGCCGUAGGUCUACCAAAAUACCUCUAGACCAGCUGCGCUCCGCCUGCGCUGAAAGCUGACCAGGUUUGAAUCGGUGAGCUUUCAGCGCACUUUACACGCCGGUGGCGAGCACGAAAAUGUCACUGCGCCCGCUGAUUCUGUCGACACCUCCCCCUGCCUCG
This is a non-coding RNA of Xyrichtys novacula (pearly razorfish), 25415 nucleotides long. NCBI's taxonomy places the organism in Eukaryota, Metazoa, Chordata, Actinopteri, Labriformes, Labridae. The record is from the annotation of a GenBank genome assembly.